RNAcentral lists this long non-coding RNA (2703 nucleotides) under Homo sapiens (human). RNAcentral describes it as "HSALNT0325202". Lineage: Eukaryota; Metazoa; Chordata; Mammalia; Primates; Hominidae. The record is from RNAcentral.
AGUCACAGCCAGGACAGGAAUGUCACCCCCAGCUGGCAGACAGCACUCUGAGCAGCCAGGCCUGGGAUCCUCUGACCUGCCCACUUCAGGAGGCCAGUGUGGUCACUGCCACCCCACGGUCUGGGGACCCUGGACUCCAAACUUGUAAGUGCUAGAGUGGGCAGCUGGAGGCCAUCUGGGCACUUUAAAACACAGGUACUCGGGAACAAACCUCUGAUGGGGUGGGUGGGGUGAGGGAUGGGGGACCUUGGGUCCCAGGCCCUCUGUGAUUUUCUGAUGAACUUCCUUCUGUGGGAGCGCUGGCUCAGGGAGCUCCUGGCCUCUCCUCCUCUACCACUUCCUCCGCCACCCGCCUCCACCUGCUCCCGGCCUGAUGUCCGCAGGGUCAUGUGUGCAGUAGUCCCACGUCCAGGCUCACUGCAGAGGCAGCCCUCUUCAGACAGGAGGCAGAAGAGAGGGCCCCCGCAAGUUAGCUUUUACUUUAAUAUUAUUAUGUCAUUAUGUGUAUUAUUAUUGUCAUCAACAUCUUUUUAUUCUGCAAAUACUAAUUUCAUAUCCCAUAUGGGCAGGCUCUGUGCAAGGUAAAUUACUAAGUUUUGUUAAUGAAGUCAAACAAAGUCAUGGGUUCUAUAAGAAGACAACUAUUUUAAAAUAUGGCAUAAAUGACAUUAUAUAGUUAAGAUAGUAUAAAGACACGACUUGGAACAAGCAAACGUGGGAACAAGGCAAGGAGAACGUGUAGCUUCCUUUUGGAGUGCUCAUACUAAUUGCUGAUGAAACAUUUCUGCACUCGGCAGGGAAUCAGUCCACAGCCCCCCUCUGAUUAAAAUGCGACCCAGCUUGGACUCUGAGAGCAAAUGUCCCAGCGACCCUGGGAAGAAGUGAUGCAAUCCUCUCUUUGCGCUGUUUAUCAUUUCUGAGAAGCAAUGACAUAGCUGCCUCUUGCAGUUUGGUCUAAUUACUUGUCUGAUCUCCCCCAGGGAGAAGCAGCUCUGUUCUCCCUUGGCCUCCAGACAGUGGGGCCCACAGUCUCUACUGGAGGAGUGGGGCCGGCCAUCGUGGGCAGGGGAGGUGGAGACCCCUUGAAGCUGAUCUGUAUUGCAGGGUGUGGAGUAGGGCUGGGGGUUCCUGGGCCUCUAAUCUUUAAAAUCCAGCAAGAAGGUAGUGUACUGUGAGCCAGGCCCAUCAUUCUCUUUCCUCCCUGAAACCAUCGAUGAGUCUUCCCCUAAGGGCUGGAGGGGAGGGUCCCCUUUCUUUGACUUCCCUUGCAGUUCCUCUGAUGCUGAAGAGUAGGGCUUGCAGGGACUCUGCCUCCUGCAGGGAGCAGCCACUGUUUCCAGGGACCCUCACAGAAGAGGAGCUAAUUUCACACUUUGGGACUCCAUAGAAGCCAGCUUCCUGGCAGUUUGAAGUGUGCUUCUCACACAUCUUCCACCAGCUUGUUUGUCUGCCUAUAUCUGAGGAUCCUUUAAAGCGAUUGAAACAAAAUUAAGGGCAGAAUGAAUCUUUGGUGAUGAAAGUGAGAAUCUGGGAGAGAUGUGAAAACUGGAAGAGAAACAGGAAGUACCUCCAGGAUUCACCUAAAUAGAUGCUGCGGUUUCUAUCAAACCACAGGCCACCCCAGCAUCUCAGUGGCUUCUAUAGGUUGUCCUGAAAGAGCCAUGAGGCCAGGGCCCUUGAUGGAUUCCCAGAUACCAGCUGCUCCUCCAGACACCAAUUCCACCCUCCACCUUUCUGUGUCCGUCCCAGACCAAGGCAGCCCAGCCACCAAAUUCCCGCCUUAGCUGCAGGACGGACCCCAACCAAGAGCAGCCGCUAAGAUGGCCGGGGAGUGAGAAAAGCCUCAUUUCUUUAAUAAAGCUGCUGCGCUCAGCCUUGAACACCCUCCCGACCUUGGGGCUCUGCUGCCCCACGCGGAGCCCCCAUUUCAACAGAUGCAGACACCCCAAAGCCCCUUCCCAACAGCCCGAAGAGAAGCCCUCCUCUGAAGAGACAGCAGAGAAGCAGAGCCCCCUGGGACGCCCCCCAAGACCUCCACGUCUCCCCAGCACCCGGCGGGGGGGUGGUGCAUGCACUUCCCGUGGCUGCGGGAACAAACUGCCACACACAGGGAGGCUGAACACAGCAGAAGUCUAUUCCACACAGUCCUAGAAGCCAGAGGCAGUGACAUCAAGGUGCUGGACGGCCGCCCUCCCAUCGGAGGCUCUGGGAAGAAUCUGUUCCUUCCUCUUCCAGCUUCCACGACUCAGGGCAGCACCCCUGUAACCUCUGCCUCCAUGGUGAUAUCGCUUCCCCUCUUCUGUGUCAAAUGUCCCCCUGCGUCCCUCUUCACCAGAAUAAUCCCCUCAUCUCAAGUGCCUUAAUUUAAUCACACCUGCAAAGUGUUUGCCGCGUAAAGUAACAAUUACAGUUUCCAGAGAUUAAAACCUGUUAUGUUUGGAGGCCAUUAUUCUACCUACAGAGAGGGGUUGGCUUAGGACACCCAUUCUUGUUGCCGGGUAAAGCUGCCCGGGGGGCCUGGAGGAAGCCUGCUCUGUCUCUUUCAGCCCCCACAGGUACCCCAAGGGGGCCGCCACUGAGGUCCUCGGGCUCUGAUCCAAGUGUGAAGUGAGAGCAAGUUCACUCCUUUCCCUGCUGGCUCUGACACAAGUUUUCCGUGUGGCCAGGGAUGGGUGUGAGCAGCCCAGAGCAGGGGCCGGCCCA